Molecule: long non-coding RNA, 1598 nt
Filed under: Macaca fascicularis (crab-eating macaque)
Lineage: Eukaryota; Metazoa; Chordata; Mammalia; Primates; Cercopithecidae
Description: lncRNA (ENSMFAG00000056279.1)
Source: RNAcentral
AGAGAGGCAGAGAGACGGGGCACAGAGAUUCAGCGAAAGGGGGACAGGACCUGGGGCGGCAAGGGUGAGGGGAAGAUCAGAGAGAGAUGGGAGACUCAGAGAGAGAAGAACAGAUGCUCAAGAUAAGGGGAGCCGAGACCGAGUCUGUGCCAGUGCAGUGCUGCUCUCAGGCUCUGGGGUCAGAAUCUGGGUUGCAGCUCUACCAGCCUGAGAGAAAUCGCGGAGUCUCCCCGAGUCUCAGUUUCUUCAGCUGCAAAGUGAGGAAAGAUAGGUUCCCCUUCCUGGGAGAGCGCAGCAGUCCCAAGGUCCGCCGGACUCCUUGCAAACAGCAGGCGCCCAAUUCCUGCGCGCUGAGCCGUCUGAGCCGCGCUGAUACUAGGUGGGACUCAGGGAAUGCCAAGAGGGGGCGGGGCGUCACCCACAGCGCCCUCCCCCCUUCCACCCAGACCCAACUCGGGCCCGCCCCCGGAGCUUCUGCUAGCCUGUCUGUCCCGGCCCGCACCCACCUGCUCCGGUCGGGUCCGCGAGGUCCGUGCGUUCAGGAGGAUUUCGCUGGACAGCCAGGCCUUCCCUUCCUCCGACGGGCCCCGGAACGCGCCUGCGCACUCGCUGUCUCGGAACUGAAAUUUCCAGGAAUUUGAGGAAAUGUCUGGACCUGUAGCAUGAAGACGUUAAAACAAACCCGUAACACUGCUCACCACUGGCCAAGCAAAAAGUAUUUUGGGACCACUAGUUUGCGACCCUCAAACUUGAGUUUUUCCCAGGUGCUGCAGUCCGGCUACCAGUUCACAGGUGCGCGUGAAGUCAAGAACCUCUGACGCAUCUGCGGUAGCCACGUCCCCGGCCAGCGCACAGGCGACGGUGACGUAGCGCGCACCAGGAAGAGAGUCGUCAUGGCAACCAGCGUUCCGUCGCCCGGCCACGUCCGCAGGAGACUGGAGCCGGCUCCCUGCGGAGGCGCGGAGUCGAGAAAAAGAGGAGGGUGCAGUUCUCGGAUAUAGCGAGGCCCAGACAUUAGGGCCUAGUUCCCGCGGACUUUCAACGCGGAGUAAUAGCCAAUGCCGCGUAGGACAGUGCGCCUGCGCAGGCUGAGUCCGUAAACUACCAUUCCCAGAGUCCUUCCGGUUGCAGCCAGAUCAAUUUCAGAGGUUGACGCCAGUGCUCUACCUCUUCAAACCUGCUCAUUCAAGGCGCACGUACUGCGCAUGUGCUAAAAUGGUAUCUUGGCAACGGAUGGCUGGAACAGAGAAGUCAAGGUUUCGACCAAUCAGAAGUCGCGCUCGGCCGGGCGCGGUAGCUCGCGCCUGUAAUCCCAGCAUUUUGAGAGGCCGAGGAGGGCGGAUAACUUGAGGUCUGGAGUUCGAGACCAGCCCGGCCAACAUGGUGAAACCCCCGUACUACUACUACUACUAUCUACUAAAAAUACAAAAAUUAGCUGGGCAUGGUGGCACAUGCCUGUAAUUCCAGCUAUUCCGGAGGCUGAGGCAGGAGAAUAGCUUGAAACCGGGAGGCAGAGGUUGCAGUGAGCCGAGAUCAUGCCACUGCACUCCAACCUGGGCGACAGAGCAGGACUCCAUCUCCAAAAAAAAAAAAAAAAA